RNAcentral lists this ribosomal RNA (223 nucleotides) under uncultured bacterium. RNAcentral describes it as "partial 16S ribosomal RNA". It matches the Rfam family "Bacterial small subunit ribosomal RNA", at positions 524 to 746 of the family's 1533-position model. The record is from RNAcentral.
GACAGAGGGUGCAAACGUUGUUCGGAAUUACUGGGCGUAAAGCGAGUGUAGGCGGUCUUGAAAGUCGGAUGUGAAAGCCCUGGGCUCAACCCAGGAAGUGCAUUCGAUACUCCAAGGCUAGAGUACUGGAGAGGUGGGUGGAAUUCUCGGUGUAGAGGUGAAAUUCGUAGAUAUCGAGAGGAACACCGGCGGCGAAGGCGGCCCACUGGACAGAUACUGACGC